RNAcentral lists this ribosomal RNA (489 nucleotides) under uncultured bacterium. Its description in RNAcentral is "partial 16S ribosomal RNA". It matches the Rfam family "Bacterial small subunit ribosomal RNA", at positions 30 to 506 of the family's 1533-position model. The record is from RNAcentral.
AUUGAACGCUGGCGGCAGGCCUAACACAUGCAAGUCGAACGGUAACAGGAAGAAGCUUGCUUCUUUGCUGACGAGUGGCGGACGGGUGAGUAAUGUCUGGGAAACUGCCUGAUGGAGGGGGAUAACUACUGGAAACGGUAGCUAAUACCGCAUAACGUCGCAAGACCAAAAAGGGGGACCUUCGGGCCUCUUUCCAUCGGAUGUGCCCAGAUGGGAUUAGCUAGUAGGUGGGGUAACGGCUCACCUAGGCGACGAUCCCUAGCUGGUCUGAGAGGAUGACCAGCCACACUGGAGCUGAGACACGGUCCAGACUCCUACGGGAGGCAGCAGUGGGGAAUAUUGCACAAUGGGCGCAAGCCUGAUGCAGCCAUGCCGCGUGUAUGAAGAAGGCCUUCGGGUUGUAAAGUACUUUCAGCGGGGAGGAAGGGAGUAAAGUUAAUACCUUUGCUCAUUGACGUUACCCGCAGAAGAAGCACCGGCUAACUCCGU